GAUGAACGCUGGCGGCGUGCCUAAUACAUGCAAGUCGAGCGAACGGACGAGAAGCUUGCUUCUCUGAUGUUAGCGGCGGACGGGUGAGUAACACGUGGAUAACCUACCUAUAAGACUGGGAUAACUUCGGGAAACCGGAGCUAAUACCGGAUAAUAUUUUGAACCGCAUGGUUCAAAAGUGAAAGACGGUCUUGCUGUCACUUAUAGAUGGAUCCGCGCUGCAUUAGCUAGUUGGUAAGGUAACGGCUUACCAAGGCAACGAUGCAUAGCCGACCUGAGAGGGUGAUCGGCCACACUGGAACUGAGACACGGUCCAGACUCCUACGGGAGGCAGCAGUAGGGAAUCUUCCGCAAUGGGCGAAAGCCUGACGGAGCAACGCCGCGUGAGUGAUGAAGGUCUUCGGAUCGUAAAACUCUGUUAUUAGGGAAGAACAUAUGUGUAAGUAACUGGGCACAUAUUGACGGUACCUGAUCAGAAAGCCACGGCUAACUACGUG
RNAcentral lists this ribosomal RNA (497 nucleotides) under uncultured bacterium. Its description in RNAcentral is "partial 16S ribosomal RNA". It matches the Rfam family "Bacterial small subunit ribosomal RNA", at positions 28 to 507 of the family's 1533-position model. The record is from RNAcentral.